CCUGUGACUCCUCACUAGGACUACCCUAGCUAAGAUUUUGCUAAAUUGAAAUAUGACUAUAUACAGCUCCUGAACUGGAGUGGUCAAUCCCAUCUUGACACACGCACCAACAAGUCAAGUACUUGACUACACCCAGCAUCCUUCCGUCACUGAAUUAGAAAUUCAAGUAGUCCAGUGCCUAAGUGCAGUGAGUUGCUUGCAAGUCACCAUGGUGG
RNAcentral lists this long non-coding RNA (215 nucleotides) under Elaeis guineensis (African oil palm). RNAcentral's name for it is "long non-coding RNA (EGUI_LNC069947)". The record is from RNAcentral. Lineage: Eukaryota; Viridiplantae; Streptophyta; Magnoliopsida; Arecales; Arecaceae.